UUAAUUGGAUUGAGCCUUGGUAUGGAAACCUACCAAGUGAUAACUUUCAAAUUCAGAGAAACCCUGGAAUUACAAAUGGGCAAUCCUGAGCCAAAUCCUGUUUUCUGAAAACAAACAAGUAUUCAGAAAGUGAUAAUAAAAAAGGAUAGGUGCAGAGACUCAAUGGAAGCUGUUCUAACAAAUGGAGUUGGCUGCGAUGCGUUAGUAAAGGAAUCCUUCCAUCGAAACUCCAGAAAGGAUGAAGAAUAAACCUAUAUACGUAUACGUACUGAAAUACUAUAAUACUAUCUCCAAAUCAUUUACUCCAUCGUAAUCUGAUAGAUCUUUUGAAAAAUGGAUUAAUCGGACGAGAAUAAAGAUAGAGUCCCGUUCUACAUGUCAAUAUCGACAACAAUGAAAUUUAUAGUAAGAGGAAAAUCCGUCGACUUUAGAAAUCGUGAGGGUUCAAGUCCCUCUAUCCCCA
This 463-nucleotide non-coding RNA is filed under the name Trymalium ledifolium. RNAcentral's name for it is "partial transfer RNA-Leu(UAA)". The stretch from base 1 to 388 matches the Rfam family "Group I catalytic intron". Rfam says of the family: Group I catalytic introns are large self-splicing ribozymes. They catalyse their own excision from mRNA, tRNA and rRNA precursors in a wide range of organisms. Lineage: Eukaryota; Viridiplantae; Streptophyta; Magnoliopsida; Rosales; Rhamnaceae. The record is from RNAcentral.